Marmota marmota marmota (Alpine marmot) is the source of this 99-nucleotide small nuclear RNA. The record is from Ensembl. NCBI's taxonomy places the organism in Eukaryota, Metazoa, Chordata, Mammalia, Rodentia, Sciuridae.
GUGCCCUCUUCAGCAGCACGUAUACUAAAAUUAGAAUGAUACAAAGAAGAUUAGCCUGGCCCCUUGCAAACGCAAAUUUGUGAAGCGUUCCAGUUUUUU